UGAGGAAUAUUGCACAAUGGGCGAAAGCCUGAUGCAGCAACGCCGCGUGAGGGACGAAGGCCUUCGGGUCGUAAACCUCUUUUCUGGGGGACGAGUAAGGACGGUACUCCAGGAAUAAGUCUCGGCUAACUACGUGCCAGCAGCCGCGGUAAAACGUAGGAGGCGAGCGUUAUCCGGAUUUACUGGGCGUAAAGCGUACGCAGGUGGCUUCGUUAGUCGGACAUGAAAGCUCCUGGCUUAACUGGGAGAGGUUGUUCGAUACUGCGGGGCUUGAGGUUGGGAGAGGGACGUGGAAUUCCCGGUGUAGUGGUGGAAUGCGUAGAUAUCGGGAGGAACACCAGUGGCGCAAGCGGCGUCCUGGCCCACACCUGACGCUGAGGUACGAAAGCGUGGG
This 394-nucleotide ribosomal RNA is filed under the name uncultured bacterium. RNAcentral's name for it is "bacterial SSU rRNA". It matches the Rfam family "Bacterial small subunit ribosomal RNA", at positions 355 to 765 of the family's 1533-position model. The record is from RNAcentral.